This 889-nucleotide ribosomal RNA is filed under the name Chloroflexi bacterium enrichment culture clone B31112. Its description in RNAcentral is "bacterial SSU rRNA". It matches the Rfam family "Bacterial small subunit ribosomal RNA", at positions 8 to 916 of the family's 1533-position model. Lineage: Bacteria; Bacillati; Chloroflexota. The record is from RNAcentral.
AGAGUUUGAUCAUGGCUCAGGAUGAACGUUGGCGGUGUGCCUAAUACAUGCAAGUCGAACGGAGUUAAUAGCAAUAUUGACUUAGUGGCGAACGGGUGAGUAACGCGUUGGUGAUCUGCCUCGAAGUGUGGAAUAACGUUCCGAAAGGAACGCUAAUACCGCAUGUGCUCUCGAUUUUUAGAAAGUUGAGAGUAAAGGAUUUAUUCGCUUCGAGAGGAGCCUGCGUCCCAUCAGCUGGUUGGUAGGGUAACGGCCUACCAAGGCUAUGACGGGUAGGGGACCUGAGAGGGUGGCCCCCCACAAUGGAACUGAAACACGGUCCAUACACCUACGGGUGGCAGCAGUAGGGAAUAUUAGAAAUGGACGAAAGUCUGAUCUAGCAACACCGCGUGUGCGAAGAAGGCCUUCGGGUCGUAAAGCACUUUUUGGAAGGAAUAGGAAGGAAUGUACUUCCAGAAUAAGUCUCGGCUAACUACGUGCCAGCAGCCGCGGUAACACGUAGGAGGCGAACGUUAUCCGGAUUUACUGGGCGUAAAGCGCGUGUAGGUGGUUCUGUAAGUAGGGCGUGAAAGCUCCCGGCUCAACUGGGAGAGGCCGUUCUAAACUACAGAACUAGAGGAUGGUAGAGGGAGGUGGAAUUCCAGGUGUAGCGGUGGAAUGCGCAGAUAUCUGGAGGAACACCAGUGGCGAAGGCGGCCUCCUGGACCAUUCCUGACACUCAGACGCGAAAGCUAGGGUAGCAAACGGGAUUAGAGACCCCGGUAGUCCUAGCCCUAAACGAUGUAGACUAGGCGUCGGUGGUUUAAUCACCAUCGGUGUCCAAGCUAACGCGAUAAGUCUACCGCCUGGGGACUACGGCCGCAAGGUUAAAACUCAAAGGAAUUGACGG